AUUGAACGCUGGCGGCAGGCCUAACACAUGCAAGUCGAGCGGACGAAGGGAGCUUGCUCCUGGAUUCAGCGGCGGACGGGUGAGUAAUGCCUAGGAAUCUGCCUGGUAGUGGGGAUAACGUCCGGAAACGGGCGCUAAUACCGCAUACGUCCCGAGGGAGAAAGUGGGGGAUCUUCCGACCUCACGCUAUCAGAUGAGCCUAGGUCGGAUUAGCUAGUUGGUGGGGUAAAGGCCUACCAAGGCGACGAUCCGUAACUGGUCUGAGAGGAUGAUCAGUCACACUGGAACUGAGACACGGUCCAGACUCCUACGGGAGGCAGCAGUGGGGAAUAUUGGACAAUGGGCGAAAGCCUGAUCCAGCCAUGCCGCGUGUGUGAAGAAGGUCUUCGGAUUGUAAAGCACUUUAAGUUGGGAGGAAGGGCAGUAAGUUAAUACCUUGCUGUUUUGACGUUACCAACAGAAUAAGCACCGGCUAACUUCGUG
Molecule: ribosomal RNA, 483 nt
Filed under: uncultured bacterium
Lineage: Bacteria
Description: partial 16S ribosomal RNA
Rfam family: Bacterial small subunit ribosomal RNA
Source: RNAcentral